RNAcentral lists this non-coding RNA (23 nucleotides) under Cricetulus griseus (Chinese hamster). RNAcentral also lists the same sequence under 1 other name. The record is from RNAcentral. Lineage: Eukaryota; Metazoa; Chordata; Mammalia; Rodentia; Cricetidae.
AAACUCCCGUGCUGAUCAGUAGU